AGAUUAUACCAUCAGUUACCUGAAGUGAAAAAGCAAAAGAGAAAGCAAAGCAAGACGCAUAUGCCCAAAACAGAGCAAGGGCAAAAGAAUUUCAUAAGAAAACAUUAGAGACACUUCGAGCCAAAAAUAUAUGCUGACUUUCCGCACAAAGUGUAAAGGGUUUUUUUUUUUAUUAUGUGUAACACCAAGUUAUUUAAGUCAAUAAAUUUUUAAGGAAUUUCA
Orcinus orca (killer whale) is the source of this 222-nucleotide long non-coding RNA. RefSeq lists it as uncharacterized. NCBI's taxonomy places the organism in Eukaryota, Metazoa, Chordata, Mammalia, Artiodactyla, Delphinidae. The record is from RefSeq and is a predicted model, not a curated record. The transcript has 2 exons.